RNAcentral lists this long non-coding RNA (248 nucleotides) under Carica papaya (papaya). Its description in RNAcentral is "long non-coding RNA (CPAP_LNC014700)". Lineage: Eukaryota; Viridiplantae; Streptophyta; Magnoliopsida; Brassicales; Caricaceae. The record is from RNAcentral.
AUUUUUCAAAAGUUGAUAACCAUAGAAACUUAUUAAGAUGCCAAACACUGCUUCUAAUUCUUUUUCGAAAUGACAAAAUUCGUUCGUUGUCCUUCUCACCCUUAUUGUUUUCAGAGCUUCCGUUGUCUUCUUUCAUGUCACGAUCCUCAGUAGCAGAACCAAGAAUAGCUUGGCAAUUUUCUGUAUAUUUCUUCACCGCUUCAACCUCCUUCUCUAUACGCUACUUAAUUGCGACCACUCAAAAUGGA